RNAcentral lists this ribosomal RNA (1325 nucleotides) under metagenome. RNAcentral's name for it is "bacterial LSU rRNA". It matches the Rfam family "Bacterial large subunit ribosomal RNA", at positions 1561 to 2925 of the family's 2925-position model. The record is from RNAcentral.
AGUGGAUGGGGAGCAACCUAGUUGCGCGUGUGUAAAGGUAGUGCCAAGAAAAGCGAUGAUCAUGUUGAAAAUCAAUUCCCGGUACCCGAAACCGACACAGGUGGGCAAGUAGAGAAUACUAAGGGGCGCGAGGUAACUCUCUCCAAGGAACUCGGCAAAAUGACCCCGUAACUUAGGGAGAAGGGGUGCCACCGAGAGGUGGUCGCAGUGAAGAGGCCCAGGCGACUGUUUAGCAAAAACAUAGGUCUCUGCAAACUCGAAAGAGGAGGUAUAGGGGCUGACGCCUGCCCAGUGCCGGAAGGUUAAAGAAGUUGGUCAGUUUUAGGAUGAAGCUAGCGACUGAAGCCCCGGUGAACGGCGGCCGUAACUAUAACGGUCCUAAGGUAGCGAAAUUCCUUGUCGGGUAAGUUCCGACCCGCACGAAAGGCGUAACGAUCUGGGCGCUGUCUCGGAGAGAGGCUCGGCGAAAUAGGAUUGUCUGUGAAGAUACGGACUACCUGCAUUUGGACAGAAAGACCCUAUGAAGCUUUACUAUAGCUUGGAAUUGUGUUCGGGCUUCCUGUGCGCAGGAUAGGUGGGAGGCGUAGAAGGUAUUCUUGUGGGGAUACUGGAGCCAACGGUGAGAUACCACUCUCAGGAGGCUAGAAUUCUAACUUAAUUAAGGACAGUUUCAGGUGGGUAGUUUGACUGGGGCGGUCGCCUCCAAAAAGGUAACGGAGGCGUACAAAGGUUCCCUCAGACUGGUUGGAAAUCAGUCGAAGAGUGCAAAGGCAGAAGGGAGCUUGACUGCGAGAAGUACAGUUCGAGCAGGGUGGAAACACGGUCUUAGUGAUCCGACGGUGCUGUGUGGAAGGGCCGUCGCUCAACGGAUAAAAGUUACUCUAGGAUAACAGGCUGAUCUCCCCCAAGAGUUCACAUCGACGGGGAGGUUUGGCACCUCGAUGUCGGCUCAUCGCAACCUGGGGCGGAAGUACGUCCCAAGGGUUGGGCUGUUCGCCCAUUAAAGCGGUACGUGAGCUGGGUUCAGAACGUCGUGAGACAGUUCGGUCCAUAUCCGAUGUAGGCGUGAGAAUAUUGAGAGGAGCCUUCCUUAGUACGAGAGGACCGGGAAGGACGCACCGCUGGUGUACCUGUUAUGAUGCCAAUUGUAAACGCAGGGUAGCCAAGUGCGGAGAGGAUAACCGCUGAAAGCAUCUAAGUGGGAAGCCCACCUCAAGAUGAGUAUUCUGGUGUAAGGUCACGGGAAGACGACCCGUAAAUAGGCACGAGGUGGAAGUGCAGAGAUGUAUGAAGCCGAAGUGUACUAAUAGACCGUCGGCUUGACC